AGUAACCUGCCUUUCAGAGGGGAAUAACGUUCUGAAAAGAACGCUAAUACCGCAUAACGUACAGUUACCGCAUGGUAGCAGUACCAAAGGAGCAAUCCGCUGAAAGAUGGACUCGCGUCCGAUUAGCUAGUUGGUGGGGUAAAGGCCUACCAAGGCGACGAUCGGUAGCCGGACUGAGAGGUUGAACGGCCACAUUGGGACUGAGACACGGCCCAGACUCCUACGGGAGGCAGCAGUGGGGGAUAUUGCACAAUGGGGGAAACCCUGAUGCAGCAACGCCGCGUGUGGGAAGAAGGUUUUCGGAUUGUAAACCACUGUUCUUGGUGAAGAUAAUGACGGUAACCAAGGAGAAAGCUCCGGCUAACUACGUGCCAGCAGCCGCGGUAAUACGUAGGGAGCAAGCGUUGUCCGGAUUUACUGGGUGUAAAGGGUGCGUAGGCGGCUAGGCAAGUCAGACGUGAAAACCAUGGGCUCAACCUGUGGACUGCGUUUGAAACUGUUUAGCUUGAGUGAAGUAGAGGUAGGCGGAAUUCCCGGUGUAGCGGUGAAAUGCGUAGAGAUCGGGAGGAACACCAGUGGCGAAGGCGGCCUACUGGGCUUUAACUGACGCUGAGGCACGAAAGCAUGGGUAGCAAACAGGAUUAGAUACCCUGGUAGUCCAUGCCGUAAACGAUGAUUACUAGGUGUGGGGGGUCUGACCCCCUCCGUGCCGGAGU
RNAcentral lists this ribosomal RNA (716 nucleotides) under uncultured bacterium. Its description in RNAcentral is "bacterial SSU rRNA". It matches the Rfam family "Bacterial small subunit ribosomal RNA", at positions 120 to 852 of the family's 1533-position model. The record is from RNAcentral.